GGAUUCCCCUAGUAACUGCGAGUGAAGCGGGAAAAGCUCAAAUUUAAAAUCUGGCAGUCUUUGGCUGUCCGAGUUGUAAUCUAGAGAAGUAUUAUCCGCGCUGGACCGUGUACAAGUCUCCUGGAACGGAGCGUCAUAGAGGGUGACAAUCCCGUCUUUGACACGGACUACCAGGGCUUUGUGAUGUGCUCUCAAAGAGUCGAGUUGUUUGGGAAUGCAGCUCUAAAUGGGUGGUAAAUUCCAUCUAAAGCUAAAUAUUGGCGAGAGACCGAUAGCGAACAAGUACCGUGAGGGAAAGAUGAAAAGAACUUUGGAAAGAGAGUUAAACAGUAUGUGAAAUUGCUGAAAGGGAAACGCUUGAAGUCAGUCGCGUUGGCCGGGGAUCAGCCUUGCUCUUUUGCUUGGUGCACUUCCUGGUUGAUGGGCCAGCAUCAGUUUUGAUUGGUGGAUAAAGGCUAGGGGAAUGUGGCAUCUUUGGAUGUGUUAUAGCCCUUGGUUGCAUACAUCAGUUGGGACUGAGGAACUCAGCAUGCCGCAAGGCCGGGUCUUUGACYACGUACAUGCUUAGGAUGCUGGCAUAAUGGCUUUAAUCGACCCGUCUUGAAACACGGACCAAGGAGUCUAACAUGCCCGCGAGUGUUUGGGUGGAAAACCCAUGCGCGUAAUGAAAGUAAAAGCCGAGAUCCCUGUCGUGGGGAGCAUCGGUGCCCGGCCCAGACCUUUUGUGACGGUGCCGCGGUAGAGCGUGUAUGUUGGGACCCGAAAGAUGGUGAACUAUGCCUGAAUAGGGUGAAGCCAGAGGAAACUCUGGUGGAGGCUCGUAGCGAUUCUGACGUGCAAAUCGAUCGUCGAAUUUGGGUAUAGGG
This 866-nucleotide ribosomal RNA is filed under the name Lyophyllum moncalvoanum. RNAcentral describes it as "LSU rRNA". It matches the Rfam family "Eukaryotic large subunit ribosomal RNA", at positions 72 to 922 of the family's 3401-position model. The record is from RNAcentral. Lineage: Eukaryota; Fungi; Basidiomycota; Agaricomycetes; Agaricales; Lyophyllaceae.